Molecule: ribosomal RNA, 489 nt
Filed under: uncultured bacterium
Lineage: Bacteria
Description: bacterial SSU rRNA
Rfam family: Bacterial small subunit ribosomal RNA
Source: RNAcentral
AUGAACGCUAGCUACAGGCUUAACACAUGCAAGUCGAGGGGCAGCAUGAGGUCAGCUUGCUGACUUUGAUGGCGACCGGCGCACGGGUGAGUAACGCGUAUCCAACCUGCCCAUAACUAAGGGAUAAUCCGUAGAAAUGCGGUCUAAUACCUUAUGUUGUCCGAGGAAGACAUCUGAUUCGGACGAAAGAUUUAUCGGUUAUGGAUGGGGAUGCGUCUGAUUAGCUUGUUGGCGGGGUAACGGCCCACCAAGGCGACGAUCAGUAGGGGUUCUGAGAGGAAGGUCCCCCACAUUGGAACUGAGACACGGUCCAAACUCCUACGGGAGGCAGCAGUGAGGAAUAUUGGUCAAUGGACGAGAGUCUGAACCAGCCAAGUAGCGUGCAGGAUGACGGCCCUAUGGGUUGUAAACUGCUUUUAUACGGGGAUAAAAGAUGUCACGUGUGACAUUUUGCAGGUACCGUAUGAAUAAGGACCGGCUAAUUCCGUG